This 279-nucleotide ribosomal RNA is filed under the name uncultured bacterium. RNAcentral's name for it is "partial 16S ribosomal RNA". It matches the Rfam family "Bacterial small subunit ribosomal RNA", at positions 506 to 784 of the family's 1533-position model. The record is from RNAcentral.
UGCCAGCCGCCGCGGUAAUACGAAGGGUGCUAGCGUUGUUCGGAAUUACUGGGCGUAAAGAGCAUGUAGGCGGAUGAAUUAGUCAGAGGUGAAAGCCCCGAGCUCAACUUGGGAACUGCCUUUGAUACUGUUUAUCUAGAGUCCGAGAGAGGUUAGUGGAAUUCCCAGUGUAGAGGUGAAAUUCGUAGAUCUCAAGAGGAACACCGAUGGCGAAGGCAGCUUCUUGGUCCAUUUCUGACGCUCAGGUACGAAAGCGUGGGGAGCAAACAGGAUUAGAUA